GACGAACGCUGGCGGCGUGCUUAACACAUGCAAGUCGAGCGGUAAGGCCCCUUCGGGGGUACACGAGCGGCGAACGGGUGAGUAACACGUGGGUGACCUGCCCUCAGCUCUGGGAUAAGCCUGGGAAACUGGGUCUAAUACCGGAUAUGACUCCAUGACGCAUGUCGUGGGGUGGAAAGCCUUGUGCGGCUGGGGGAUGGGCCCCGCGGCCUAUCAGCUUGGUUGGGUGGGGUGAUGGCCUACCAAGGCGACGACGGGUAGCCGGCCUGAGAGGGCGACCGGCCACACUGGGACUGAGACACGGCCCAG
This 309-nucleotide ribosomal RNA is filed under the name uncultured bacterium. Its description in RNAcentral is "bacterial SSU rRNA". It matches the Rfam family "Bacterial small subunit ribosomal RNA", at positions 28 to 334 of the family's 1533-position model. The record is from RNAcentral.